GUGGGGAAUAUUGGACAAUGGGCGAAAGCCUGAUCCAGCCAUGCCGCGUGUGUGAAGAAGGUCUUCGGAUUGUAAAGCACUUUAAGUUGGGAGGAGGGGCAGUAAGUUAAUACCUUGCUGUUUUGACGUUACCGACAGAAUAAGCACCGGCUAACUUCGUGCCAGCAGCCGCGGUAAUACGAAGGGUGCAAGCGUUAAUCGGAAUUACUGGGCGUAAAGCGCGCGAAGGUGGUUUUGUAAGUUGGAGGUGAAAUCCCCGGGCUCAACCCGGGAACUGCCUCCAAAAUUUCAUGACUAGAUUACGGUAGAGGGUAGUGGAAUUUCCUGUGUAUCGGUGAAAUGCGUAGAUAUAGGAAGGAACACCAGUGGCGAAGGCGACUACCUGGACUGAUACUGACACUGAGGUGCGAAAGCGUGGGGAGCAAACAGGAUUAGAAACCCUUGUAGUCC
Molecule: ribosomal RNA, 450 nt
Filed under: uncultured bacterium
Lineage: Bacteria
Description: bacterial SSU rRNA
Rfam family: Bacterial small subunit ribosomal RNA
Source: RNAcentral